RNAcentral lists this ribosomal RNA (346 nucleotides) under uncultured bacterium. RNAcentral's name for it is "bacterial SSU rRNA". It matches the Rfam family "Bacterial small subunit ribosomal RNA", at positions 917 to 1267 of the family's 1533-position model. The record is from RNAcentral.
GGGCCCGCACAAGCGGUGGAGCAUGUGGUUUAAUUCGAUGAUACGCGAGGAACCUUACCAGGGCUUAAAUGCAGAACGACAGAGGUGGAAACACCUCCUUCUUCGGACGGUCUGCAAGGUGCUGCAUGGUUGUCGUCAGCUCGUGCUGUGAAGUGUCGGGUUAAGUCCUAUAACGAGCGCAACCCACGUCUUUAGUUGCCAGCAUUUAGUUGGGCACUCUAGAGAGACCGCCGGUGAUAAACCGGAGGAAGGUGUGGAUGACGUCAAGUCAUCAUGCCCCUUACAUCCUGGGCUACACACGUACUACAAUGCUACGGACAAAGGGCAGCAAACUCGCGAGAGCUAG